RNAcentral lists this ribosomal RNA (206 nucleotides) under uncultured bacterium. RNAcentral describes it as "partial 16S ribosomal RNA". It matches the Rfam family "Bacterial small subunit ribosomal RNA", at positions 568 to 774 of the family's 1533-position model. The record is from RNAcentral.
CACGUAGGCGGACCAUCAAGUUGGGGGUGAAAUCCCGGGGCUCAACCCCGGAACUGCCUCCAAAACUGCUGGUCUGGAGGUCGAGAGAGGUGAGUGGAAUUCCGAGUGUAGAGGUGAAAUUCGUAGAUAUUCGGAGGAACACCAGUGGCGAAGGCGGCUCACUGGCUCGAUACUGACGCUGAGGUGCGAAAGCGUGGGAGCAAACA